AACCCAUGGUUGGGACAUUUCUUCAGCAACACCUGGAAACAUUCCCAUGCCUCAUAAAAGGCUUCCUCUACACCUUGUCUGAAUGUAGAAAUUUCAAACUUUGCAU
Molecule: small nucleolar RNA, 106 nt
Organism: Lupinus angustifolius (narrow-leaved blue lupine)
Lineage: Eukaryota; Viridiplantae; Streptophyta; Magnoliopsida; Fabales; Fabaceae
Rfam family: Plant small nucleolar RNA R71
About the family: R71 is a member of the C/D box family of snoRNAs containing the C (UGAUGA) and D (CUGA) box motifs. Multiple nearly identical copies of this snoRNA have been identified in Arabidopsis, and it is thought to function as a 2'-O-ribose methylation guide for 18S ribosomal RNA.
Source: Rfam